Molecule: ribosomal RNA, 465 nt
Filed under: uncultured bacterium
Lineage: Bacteria
Description: partial 16S ribosomal RNA
Rfam family: Bacterial small subunit ribosomal RNA
Source: RNAcentral
GACGAACGCUGGCGGCGUGCUUAACACAUGCAAGUCGAACGGAAAGGCCCCUUCGGGGGUACUCGAGUGGCGAACGGGUGAGUAACACGUGAGUAACCUGCCCUUGACUUCGGGAUAACUUCAGGAAACUGGGGCUAAUACCGGAUAGGAAUCCUUGCUGCAUGGUGGGGGUUGGAAAGCUUCGGCGGUUUUGGAUGGACUCGCGGCUUAUCAGCUUGUUGGUGGGGUAGUGGCUUACCAAGGCUUUGACGGGUAGCCGGCCUGAGAGGGCGACCGGCCACAUUGGGACUGAGAUACGGCCCAGACUCCUACGGGAGGCAGCAGUGGGGAAUAUUGCACAAUGGGCGGAAGCCUGAUGCAGCAACGCCGCGUGCGGGAGGACGGCCUUCGGGUUGGAAACCGCUUUCAGCAGGGGCGAAGCUUGUGGUGACGGUACCUGCAGAAGAAGCACCGGCUAACUACGUG